This 301-nucleotide ribosomal RNA is filed under the name uncultured bacterium. RNAcentral's name for it is "partial 16S ribosomal RNA". It matches the Rfam family "Bacterial small subunit ribosomal RNA", at positions 509 to 807 of the family's 1533-position model. The record is from RNAcentral.
CAGUCGCCGCGGGAAUACGAAGGGUGCAAGCAUUAAUCGGAAUUACUGAGCGUAAAGGGUGCGUAGGCGGUUGUUUAAGUCUGUUGUGAAAUCCCCGGGCUCAACCUGGGAAUGGCAAUGGAAACUGGACGGCUAGAGUGUGUCAGAGGAUGGUGGAAUUCCCGGUGUAGCGGUGAAAUGCGUAGAGAUCGGGAGGAACACCGAUGGCGAAGGCAAUCCCCUGGACCUGUACUGACGCUCAUGCACGAAAGCGUGGGGAGCAAACAGGAUUAGAUACCCCCGUAGUCCCUGUCUCUUAUAC